CCUACGGGAGGCAGCAGUGGGGAAUAUUGCACAAUGGGGGAAACCCUGAUGCAGCGACGCCGCGUGAGCGAUGAAGUAUCUCGGUAUGUAAAGCUCUAUCAGCAGGGAAGAAAGUGACAGUACCUGACUAAGAAGCCCCGGCUAACUACGUGCCAGCAGCCGCGGUAAUACGUAGGGGGCAAGCGUUAUCCGGAUUCACUGGGCGGAAAGGGAGCGCAGGCGGCACGGCAAGUCUGGUGUGAAAACCCGGGGCUCAACCCCGGGACUGCAUUGGAAACUGCCGGGCUUGAGUGUCGGAGGGGAAAGCGGAAUUCCUGGUGUAGCGGUGAAAUGCGUAGAUAUUAGGAGGAACACCAGUGGCGAAGGCGGGUUACUGGACGAUGACUGACGCUGAGGCUCGAAAGCGUGGGGAGCAAACAGGAUUAGAUACCCGGGUAGUC
This 440-nucleotide ribosomal RNA is filed under the name uncultured bacterium. RNAcentral describes it as "partial 16S ribosomal RNA". It matches the Rfam family "Bacterial small subunit ribosomal RNA", at positions 338 to 795 of the family's 1533-position model. The record is from RNAcentral.